This 1046-nucleotide long non-coding RNA is filed under the name Homo sapiens (human). RNAcentral's name for it is "non-protein coding LINC00894:40". The record is from RNAcentral. Lineage: Eukaryota; Metazoa; Chordata; Mammalia; Primates; Hominidae.
CGUACGCACGCACUUGCCACAAGGAGACGCUGUUCAGUUUACCGGAUCCUGUCCCGCGCCAGCCAACCAGGACAAGGCCGGGGAGCUCGAGACAGGCAGCCUAGACCAAGAACCGGAAGGAGGAAAAGGAACCGGAGGGAGGAAGAGGAGGGGCGGGACGAGACCACCAGUCUCCCGCAUUGACUUCAUAACCAAGUUCUGGGUCCCUGCCUCUGGAGUGCCUGAUGAGACAAAACGGCUCCUCGUCCUGCAUCCCCGCUGCUACUUCCAGAAUUCAGGCCUCGUGGUCUGGAGCCUGCACUGUUCCAUGAGCCUCCUGAGCAACCUGGAGUCCUCUGUCUUUCUUCCCUCAGUGAGAUGCGCCUACUUCUCCCUGGAGAAGCUUGAGGAAGCAGAAAUGCUGGAGAUGAGCUGCUCCUCACUCUCACUCCUGGGUGUGCUGGGCAGUGGGGUGCAAUGUGCACGUAGGUGCACACUCUCCCUGGGCGGCAGCGAGCAGCAGAGGUCUGAUCUGUGGUCGGAUGACGAGAGGAAGUGCAAGUAAAGCAGCUGCAGCGAGACCUCGUCCGCACAGGGGCUUGUUCUUCUGUGUCUUUGCAGGGCUGUUUUGGACUCAGUAUUCACCUAAGCACUCCAAAUUGGUCGUGCGGAUGUGCGAUGUAGGAGGAGGAGAGAGGUAAAGUGGAGGAAUAGGAGCUGGAGGGGAGGAGGAGAGAAGAAAAGAGGAGAAGGAGGGGGAAGAGAGGGAGCGGGUUCAAGGAGGGAAGGAGGAGGAGAAGGAGAGGAGGAGGAGAUGAGACCAAGGAGAAGAGGUGAAGGAGGAGAGGAGGACACAGAAAAGAGAAGAAAGAGGAGAGGAGACGGAGAAGAGGAGGAGGAGUAACAAAGGAGGAAGAAGAGGAAGAGGACUAGAAGAGCAAGUAAGGAGGAGGAGGGGGGAGUAGGAGGAGAGGAGAAGGACAGAAGGGGAAGGAGAGGCAGAUGUGGAGGAGAGGAGGUGGAGGACAGGAGGGGAUGAGAAAGAGGAGGAGAAAAGGAGAGGAGAG